Molecule: ribosomal RNA, 442 nt
Filed under: uncultured Caulobacteraceae bacterium
Lineage: Bacteria; Pseudomonadati; Pseudomonadota; Alphaproteobacteria; Caulobacterales; Caulobacteraceae
Description: bacterial SSU rRNA
Rfam family: Bacterial small subunit ribosomal RNA
Source: RNAcentral
CCCUACGGGCGGCAGCAGUGGGGAAUCUUGCGCAAUGGGCGAAAGCCUGACGCAGCCAUGCCGCGUGGAUGAUGAAGGUCUUAGGAUUGUAAAAUCCUUUCAGCGGGGACGAUAAUGACGGUACCCGCAGAAGAAGCCCCGGCUAACUUCGUGCCAGCAGCCGCGGUAAUACGAAGGGGGCUAGCGUUGCUCGGAUUUACUGGGCGUAAAGGGCGCGUAGGCGGACAGUUAAGUCGGGGGUGAAAGCCCGGGGCUCAACCUCGGAAUUGCCUUCGAUACUGGCUGUCUGGAGUACGGGAGAGGUGUGUGGAACUCCGAGUGUAGAGGUGAAAUUCGUAGAUAUUCGGAAGAACACCAGUGGCGAAGGCGACACACUGGCCCGUUACUGACGCUGAGGCGCGAAAGCGUGGGGAGCAAACAGGAUUAGAUACCCCUGUAGUCC